CCUACCCUGGGGGUUUCUUGAGUCUGGAAAGCACUUUGGAGGGUGAUGCUCCAUCUAAUUUCAUCCGAAGUAGGAAAUCCAAAGUGAAGUCCAUCUGAAUUGUGCUUUCUGCCUGAUCCCACGUAAAGAAAAGUUCUGUAGUGUUUUAGCGAUAUCUCACAGCAAAGGAAACCAUGCUGAACUCAGAGCCUAUAUCAGAAGUGUUUGUCAUCUCAGGCCCCAUCUGCAGCACCCAGCCCCAUUUCCGGGCAGGAAAUGAAACCACAGAAGGCAAGGACACUUCUUUGGAUGAAGCUGAGCCUCUGACGCUGUCCCUGAACUUGAUAAGCUUUUCAUGGGAUAUGCUAGAUGAGGAAAUGAAAUGGGACUUGACUGGCUGUCAAAGACUUCUCUGGGAUUUUCCUUCCCUGGAAUGUUUCCUUUACCAUCAGGAUCCCAGUCAAAUGCCACUGCCUUCAUGAAGCCUUUUUCAACUACCCGGAACCCCCUUCUCUGAAUGCCCGGUAAACUGGGAGUAAGUACCAUUCAUUGUGUGAAUUUCAUCUCCUGACUCUGCACCUACUUACCAGUGAGGGAGACUGAACGAUGAUGAUUUACUCCUUUUCACAAAUGAGAAAGCAGAACCCCAGGUGGUAAAGUAAUUGCUUCAGGAUCAUACAGGAAACGACAUGGAGGCUUCUGCUGGGAAGAUGCUUUGCUUCCCGAGUGCACGAGAAAGAGGAUCCACGACACUGGCAUUGUCCACAAGAGCACUCCCCUGCCUACUCACAGGAAGGAUCUCUUAUUUUCUAAUCAACCUAGAGCAAGGGGUCCCUUUCAGACACUUUGGCCAGGCCAUAGAGUGGUUUCUCUUACAUCCAUGCGUUUCAGCAAAGGGCUUCCUCUAAGGCUCAUGUCACCCUCAUCCAAGGUCCACAAAACCCUCUGAAAGAACUGAGCUCAUCUGCUUUCCUCUGUCACUUGAGAGGCUGGUGUGCACGGAAUCCUCAUUCUUGAGACCAGAGUCACAGUAAGCCUUUCCAACCAGUUUUUAAUUUAGACAAAGAUUAGCAAAAGCACAGUUAUUACCACUAAAAGCACCCUUAAAGAGGCCUGUAAAUACUGAGCCGAAUAGCAGGAAUCUGACUCUACUCUCCGAGGCCCUGAGUUCCUCAAGGCCCUUGAAAUGUACCUGCGUCUUCCCCAUCAGAGCCCUUUGUUCUCCCUUCUGUCCUGUCUCCCUGUUCAUGGCUCACCUUCCCACUGCGGGAUGAGGUAGGCGGCUGGGAGGUGCAUCCCUGGAUUCAGACCCGGGAGACCAGAGGCUUUCCCAUUAGCAUUCGGCUGUUAUGCUCUCUUGGGCCCUAAAGACUAAAGAGAAGUGUCACGUCAAGAGCUUUAGAAAAAUCUCAAAAAUCUCGAGAGUAGUGGUUCUUUAUUAAUUCACUUAAUCAGUAAAUUACAUAAUUAAUAUAUUAAACGGUACCUAGAGGCCCAGAAUAUUGAAAAGGAAUUCUGUAUUGGCUGCAUAUUUCGAUGGUGAUUCUAGAUGCUCCCGGUGACAGCUCCAGAAUUUCUGUAGAGGAGGGGCUUAAGGGUGCAGUUUGGCUUGAAGGAGAGGCUUCGGGAACAAAACUGAGAUUGAAUGUUUAUUUGGGGUGGCUUUUUGAGAGGGGGGGGUGGGAUGGAGAUCGGGGUCACUCCCGGACAUUCCUGUGCUCUGGGCCCUCCUACAUUCUUGCUGCUCUGAAUCACACCUGCAAAUCGAGAUGGCUUUGCGAGAGCGCCCAGCUCUACCCUUCUUUUCCUCUGUCCCCUUCCUGCUCUGCGUCCUCUCUUGAUUCCUUAUGUCGCACUUUGCCCCAUUAGCUCUAUACCUGCACCUUUGCCCUUUCUCUCAUCACUAACUUUGUUUCAAAAUCUGUCUUCUUUUUAUCUCAAUCUAGUAAUGACCAGCCUGGAAGGCAGGAAUGCCCAGGGGACUGCCAUAAACCCAGAAUUAUGACGUAAGAGCCAAGGCUAAAAGCUGAGAUCACUUUUCUCUUUUGAGAGCCAUUGUUUUGGGUGGUUCAGCCCAUAAAGGAUUCUGGAUCUUAAAAGAAUCUCAAACGUUUUUAUUUCUUUUCCUUUUUACAAGCAGGAAGAAACAGGAUGAUGCUGCAGAGCCAGCCAUUUUGUUUCUGAGGUCCCUGCCUUUUCAAGAACGAGCUGGGACCUAUUGCUUCUUUCUGGAGCUCUUGACUUUUUAGUCUUUCCCUCCCCACUCCUUCACCCUCCACCCCCAGUAGAGGUGGAAAUGGUGAGUCUGCAACCAAGGUCAGACAAACCAGUGGAGGA
Long non-coding RNA from Aethalodelphis obliquidens (Pacific white-sided dolphin), 2316 nucleotides. RefSeq lists it as uncharacterized. The transcript is spliced from 5 exons. Lineage: Eukaryota; Metazoa; Chordata; Mammalia; Artiodactyla; Delphinidae. The record is from RefSeq and is a predicted model, not a curated record.